This 728-nucleotide ribosomal RNA is filed under the name uncultured archaeon. Its description in RNAcentral is "bacterial SSU rRNA". It matches the Rfam family "Archaeal small subunit ribosomal RNA", at positions 108 to 820 of the family's 1478-position model. The record is from RNAcentral.
CCUGCCCUAGAGAGAGGGAUAUCCUCGGGAAACUGAGGGUAAACCCUCAUAGGUAACGAGUUCUGGAAUGACUCGUUACUAAAAGUAGGUUAGGAGAAUGGUCCUAGCCUAGCUCUAGGAUGGGGCUGCGGCCGAUCAGGUAGUUGGUGAGGUAACGGCUCACCAAGCCUGUGACCGGUGCGGGCCGUGAGAGCGGGAGCCCGGAGAUGGACUCUGAGACAAGAGUCCAGGCCCUACGGGGCGCAGCAGGCGCGAAACCUCCGCAAUGCGCGUAAGCGCGACGGGGCUACCCCGAGUGCCAUCUUCAUGAUGGCUUUUGCCUAGUGUAAAAAGCUAGGCGAAUAAAGGGGGGGCAAGACGGGUGUCAGCCGCCGCGGUAAUACCCGCUCCCUGAGUGGUGGGGGCUUUUAUUGGGCUUAAAGCGUCCGUAGCGGGCCUAGUAAGUUUCCCGUUAAAUCCAGUGGCUUAACCACUGGGCUGCGGGAAAUACUGCUAGGCUUGGGGGUGGAAGAAGCCACCGGUACUCUUAGGGUAGGGGUAAAAUCCUCUGAUCCUAAGAGGACCACCAGUGGCGAAGGCGGGUGGCUAGGACACGCCCGACCGUGAGGGACGAAAGCUGGGGGAGCAAACGGGAUUAGAUACCCCGGUAGUCCCAGCUGUAAACGAUGCAGACUAGGGUUGUAGGAGUGGCUACGGGCCACUCCUGUGCCGAAAGGAAACCAUUAAGU